Molecule: RNase MRP RNA, 494 nt
Filed under: Pisolithus tinctorius Marx 270
Lineage: Eukaryota; Fungi; Basidiomycota; Agaricomycetes; Boletales; Pisolithaceae
Description: RNase MRP
Rfam family: RNase MRP
About the family: RNase MRP is an enzymatically active ribonucleoprotein with two distinct roles in eukaryotes. In mitochondria it plays a direct role in the initiation of mitochondrial DNA replication.
Source: Rfam by way of RNAcentral
GCAUUGAGUGAGGAAUCGCUGUCGCAGCUACACGAACAGAAAGCCAUUCACUGGACUUUCGUACUGAUUGCUGUGGGGAAAGUCCCCGGAGACACAGAGACAGUCACCGUGCACGCCCAUCUCCUGCUAGGAGAGCGCCCAGCUCAAAGAAUGCUGAGGAUAUGUGGGAGGAAAUGUCGCGGCGUGCGCGGUGCGGAUGAGGUCGUUUUUACUCGGUAUCUGUUCCCUUUGACGCUGUCAAGGGGUCUGAUACUGGUAUCACCCUCGUCCACUCUGUCGCCCGCUUCCAUCGGUGCGCCUUCUCUACCCGUUCUCUCUCCCGAAAGGGCUUUGAGAUGGGACAUGGCACCCUCUGCACCAAGAUAUGAGUGUAGAGCGGUGCCGGAGACGUCCUGUGCAUCGAAUCGGGCGUACCCGUUGCUCAUAGACAGAGUUAUGCGAUUGAUGGCACCUUAGUUGCCAUUCAACGGAAUGGGGCUUACCAUCACUUAAUG